This 579-nucleotide ribosomal RNA is filed under the name Debaryomyces sp. AA-Y29. RNAcentral describes it as "eukaryotic LSU rRNA". It matches the Rfam family "Eukaryotic large subunit ribosomal RNA", at positions 67 to 662 of the family's 3401-position model. The record is from RNAcentral. Lineage: Eukaryota; Fungi; Ascomycota; Pichiomycetes; Serinales; Debaryomycetaceae.
AAAGGGGGUUGCGGUAGCUAUCGGCGAGUGAAGCGAGCAAAGCUCAAAUUUGAAAUCUGGCACCUUCGGUGUCCGAGUUGUAAUUUGAAGAAGGUAACUUUGGAGUUGGCUCUUGUCUAUGUUCCUUGGAACAGGACGUCACAGAGGGUGAGAAUCCCGUGCGAUGAGAUGCCCAAUUCUAUGUAAAGUGCUUUCGAAAAAGUCGAGUUGUUUGGGAAUGCAGCUCUAAGUGGGUGGUAAAUUCCAUCUAAAGCUAAAUAUUGGCGAGAGACCGAUAGCGAACAAGUACAGUGAUGGAAAGAUGAAAAGAACUUUGAAAAGAGAGUGAAAAAGUACGUGAAAUUGUUGAAAGGGAAGGGCUUGAGAUCAGACUUGGUAUUUUGCGAUCCUUUCCUUCUUGGUUGGGUUCCUCGCAGCUUACUGGGCCAGCAUCGGUUUGGAUGGUAGGAUAAUGACUAAGGAAUGUGGCUCUACUUCGGUGGAGUGUUAUAGCCUUGGUUGAUACUGCCUGUCUAGACCGAGGACUGCGUCUUUGACUAGGAUGCUGGCAUAAUGAUCUUAAGCCACCCGUCUGAACAC